This 301-nucleotide ribosomal RNA is filed under the name uncultured bacterium. RNAcentral describes it as "partial 16S ribosomal RNA". It matches the Rfam family "Bacterial small subunit ribosomal RNA", at positions 509 to 807 of the family's 1533-position model. The record is from RNAcentral.
CAGUCGCCGCGGGAAUACGUAGGGUGCAAGCGUUAAUCGGAAUUACUGGGCGUAAAGCGUGCGCAGGCGGUUUGUUAAGACAGAUGUGAAAUCCCCGGGCUUAACCUGGGAACUGCAUUUGUGACUGGCAAGCUAGAGUAUGGCAGAGGGGGGUGGAAUUCCGCGUGUAGCAGUGAAAUGCGUAGAUAUGCGGAGGAACACCGAUGGCGAAGGCAGCCCCCUGGGCCAAUACUGACGCUCAUGCACGAAAGCGUGGGGAGCAAACAGGAUUAGAUACCCCCGUAGUCCCUGUCUCUUAUAC